GACGAACGCUGGCGGCGUGCUUAACACAUGCAAGUCGAACGGAAAGGCCCUGCUUUUGUGGGGUGCUCGAGUGGCGAACGGGUGAGUAACACGUGUGUAACCUGCCCUUGACUUUGGGAUAACUUCAGGAAACUGGGGCUAAUACCGGAUAGGAUCUACUGCUGCAUGGUGGGGGUUGGAAAGUUUCGGCGGUUGGGGAUGGACUCGCGGCUUAUCAGCUUGUUGGUGGGGUAGUGGCUUACCAAGGCUUUGACGGGUAGCCGGCCUGAGAGGGUGACCGGCCACAUUGGGACUGAGAUACGGCCCAGACUCCUACGGGAGGCAGCAGUGGGGAAUAUUGCACAAUGGGCGGAAGCCUGAUGCAGCAACGCCGCGUGCGGGAUGACGGCCUUCGGGUUGUAAACCGCUUUCGCCUGUGACGAAGCGUGAGUGACGGUAAUGGGUAAGGAAGCACCGGCUAACUACGUG
RNAcentral lists this ribosomal RNA (468 nucleotides) under uncultured bacterium. RNAcentral describes it as "partial 16S ribosomal RNA". It matches the Rfam family "Bacterial small subunit ribosomal RNA", at positions 28 to 507 of the family's 1533-position model. The record is from RNAcentral.